CACGUAGGGGGCGAGCGUUGUCCGGAUUUAUUGGGCGUAAAGAGCUCGUAGGCGGCUUGGUAAGUCGGGUGUGAAACCUCCAGGCUCAACCUGGAGACGCCACCCGAUACUGCUAUGGCUAGAGUCCGGUAGGGGAGCGUGGAAUUCCUGGUGUAGCGGUGAAAUGCGCAGAUAUCAGGAGGAACACCAGCGGCGAAGGCGGCGCUCUGGGCCGGAACUGACGCUGAGGAGCGAAAGCGUGGGUAGCAAACAGG
This 254-nucleotide ribosomal RNA is filed under the name uncultured bacterium. RNAcentral describes it as "partial 16S ribosomal RNA". It matches the Rfam family "Bacterial small subunit ribosomal RNA", at positions 524 to 776 of the family's 1533-position model. The record is from RNAcentral.